AUCCUUUGCCAAGUCUCUAAGUU
Molecule: non-coding RNA, 23 nt
Filed under: Arabidopsis thaliana (thale cress)
Lineage: Eukaryota; Viridiplantae; Streptophyta; Magnoliopsida; Brassicales; Brassicaceae
Source: RNAcentral